CGUUCCAGUAUUAGUCAAUGCUCGCAAGAGUGAACUAGCUAACUGAAAUCAUAGAAUUUUUUAAAAUUCAUGAUGUCGUAAGGGAAAAUAAUGAUAAUACCUUACUAUGAGUGUUGUCCAAAUCUGGUGCCAGAAGACUCGGUAAGACCAGAAACGCAAACGUUAAUCAUCAUAAACAGGCGUAAAGGGUUUGUAGGCAGCUUUUAUCAGAUUAUGCAUUUUAAAAUAAAGUAGUCUAAUUAAAAGCUAGAAUCAAAAAGAGGUUAUAGUGUAUAACGCCUAGAGGAGGGCUGAUAUCCAUAGAUCCUAGGCAGAAUACUAAGGGCGAAGGCCACUUUCCAUUAAUGAUUGACGCUGAGAAACGAAGGUUAGGGUAGGAAAUAGGAUUAGAUACCCCGGUACUCCUUUCUGUAAACGAUGAAUGGUAGUCAUUAGUUUUUUUCUUAGAAAAAAAAAAAUAACUAGAGACGAAGUUAACACAAUAACCAUUCCGCCUUGUGAGUACUACUGCAAAGUAGAAAACAAAAAAAUUAGUCGUCUCGAGCAAACGGAGUGAAGCAGGUUAUUUAACGA
Molecule: ribosomal RNA, 573 nt
Filed under: Haploporus nepalensis
Lineage: Eukaryota; Fungi; Basidiomycota; Agaricomycetes; Polyporales; Polyporaceae
Description: partial small subunit ribosomal RNA
Rfam family: Bacterial small subunit ribosomal RNA
Source: RNAcentral